UAUCUGCAAAAGCUCCACGAAAGUUAGAUAGACAGUGAUCCACUUGAAAACAAUAUAGAGUACCUUCCAAGCAUCAUCACUGUUGCUUGAGGAUUGGUUCCCGGUGUUGAUAAAAACGUAGAUCCAUCCACGACUCGCAAUCCUUUCAAUACCUUAACCCGGAAGCUCCAGUCGACCACCUCUCCAAGCGGGCAUCCUCCAUGGUAGUGGUAAUUAGUCGAAACAUUCCGCCGGCAAAACUCGCUGAUGGUUCUAUUCACAGAUCCACUCGCAACAAGCGUUGCAUUUCUUCGAUCCGGGGAAGAGACCGUGCCUCCAGAUGGAAGGGACUGAUUGCCAAACACCAGCGCCGCCAUGGAUCGAGAGAGCACCAUCUCCUCCAAAGUGUUGACUCCAGCAAUGCAGCGUUGUAGAUCCACCGGGUUCUGGAAAUAGUUGAAUUUCACUCGGGGAGUUUCACUCGCGUUUGUGCUCUUGAGGAAGAGCUCGCCUGUUGAUAGAGGGCCGUUUACCUCCCCGGCAAUAGCCCCCGAGUCUUGACUCAAAACGUAUCCUCCAGCGCUAAAGUUUGACGUGCUCACUCCCACCACUUGCUCAAUCAGGCUUCCAACAGGAAUGCGAGAGCGUAGCAGGAUGGUGUUUGUAGGAUUAUCACCCAUCCCCUUCCCUACCAUAGGCAGAUCCAAGAUCACUGGAAUUCCUAUCUCCUCAAGGUGAGCUUUCGGACCAACACCGCUUAGCAUAAGUAGCUGUGGACUUCCCAGAGCACCCGCAGAGAUUAUAACUUCACUUCUUUUAGAGCUGAGAAGAGCUGUGUGAGAGCGGCCAAGAUUGUCAGUGUAUAGAACUCCACGACUGCGUCCUCCUGUGAAAAGGAUCAAGAUCGAUCGCAAAGAAACGUUGCUGUCACGAGAACUUAC
Molecule: long non-coding RNA, 920 nt
Filed under: Selaginella moellendorffii
Lineage: Eukaryota; Viridiplantae; Streptophyta; Lycopodiopsida; Selaginellales; Selaginellaceae
Description: long non-coding RNA (SMOE_LNC002219)
Source: RNAcentral